Oncorhynchus keta (chum salmon) is the source of this 400-nucleotide long non-coding RNA. RefSeq lists it as uncharacterized. The transcript has 3 exons. The record is from RefSeq and is a predicted model, not a curated record. NCBI's taxonomy places the organism in Eukaryota, Metazoa, Chordata, Actinopteri, Salmoniformes, Salmonidae.
CUCUCCAGACUGUGGGGUUUGAGUGAGAGGUCUGACUGGUGUCUCCAAGUGGCCACACACCUCUCCAGACUGUGGGGUUUGGGUGAGAGGUCUGACUGGCGUCUCCAAGUGGCCACACACCUCUCCAGACUGUGGGGUUUGAGUGAGAGGUCUGACUGGUGUCUCCACGUGGCCACACACCUCUCCAGACUGUGGGGUUUGAGUGAGAGGUCUGACUGGUGUCUCCAAGUGGCCACACACCUCUCCAGACUGUGGGUUUGAGUGAGAGGUCUGACUGGCGUCUCCAAGUGGCCACACACCUCUCCAGACUGUGGGGUUUGGGUGAGAGGUCUGACUGGCGUCUCCAAGUGGCCACACACCUCUCCAGACUGUGGGGUUUGAGUGAGAGGUCUGACUGGCG